This is a long non-coding RNA of Oncorhynchus tshawytscha (Chinook salmon), 640 nucleotides long. The record is from Ensembl. Lineage: Eukaryota; Metazoa; Chordata; Actinopteri; Salmoniformes; Salmonidae.
CAGCCAUUCUCUCUCUGUCCGGAAGGGAAGGUGAGCGAAGAGGUAGUAUCAGCCAUUCUCUCUCUGUCCGGAAGGGAAGGUGAGCGAAGAGGUAGUAUCAGCCAUUCUCUCUCUGUCCGGAAGGGAAGGUGAGCGAAGAGGCGGUAUCAGCCAUUCUCUCUCUGUCCGGAAGGGAAGGCGAGCGAAGAGGUAGUAUCAGCCAUUCUCUCUCUGUCUGGAAGGGAAGGUGAGCGAAGAGGUAGUAUCAGCCGUUCUCUCUCUGUCCGGAAGGGAAGGUGAGCGAAGCAGCAGUAUCAGUCAUUCUCUCUCUGUCCAGAAGGGAAGGCGAGCGAAGAGGUAGUAUCAGCCGUUCUCUCUCUGUCCAGAAGGGAAGGUGAGCGAAGAGGCAGUAUCAGCCAUUCUCUCUCUGUCCGGAAGGGAAGGUGAGUGAAGAGGUAGUAUCAGCCAUUCUCUCUCUGUCCGGAAGGGAAGGUGAGCAAAGAGGUAGUAUCAGCCAUUCUCUCUCUGUCCGGAAGGGAAGGUGAGUGAAGAGGUAGUAUCAGCCAUUCUCUCUCUGUCCGGAAGGGAAGGUGAGCGAAGAGGUAGUAUCAGCCAUUCUCUCUCUGUCCGGAAGGGAAGGUGAGCGAAGAGGUAGUAUCAG